AUACGUAGGGUGCAAGCGUUAAUCGGAAUUACUGGGCGUAAAGCGUGCGCAGGCGGUUUUGUAAGACAGUGGUGAAAACCCCGGGCUCAACCUGGGAACUGGCAUUGUGACUGCAAGGCUGGAGUGCGGCAGAGGGGGAUGGAAUUCCGCGUGUAGCCGUGAAAUGCGUAGAUAUGCGGAGGAACACCGAUGGCGAAGGCAAUCCCCUGGGCCUGCACUGACGCUCAUGCACGAAAGCGUGGGGAGCAAACAGGAUUAGAUACCCUGGUAGUCCACGCCCUAAACGAUGUCAACUGGUUGUUGGGGAUUUAUUUUCUCAGUAACGAAGCUAACGCGUGAAGUUGACCGCCUGGGGAGUACGGCCGCAAGGUUAAAACUCAAAGGAAUUGACGGGG
RNAcentral lists this ribosomal RNA (395 nucleotides) under uncultured bacterium. RNAcentral describes it as "partial 16S ribosomal RNA". It matches the Rfam family "Bacterial small subunit ribosomal RNA", at positions 523 to 918 of the family's 1533-position model. The record is from RNAcentral.